This 253-nucleotide ribosomal RNA is filed under the name uncultured bacterium. Its description in RNAcentral is "partial 16S ribosomal RNA". It matches the Rfam family "Bacterial small subunit ribosomal RNA", at positions 524 to 776 of the family's 1533-position model. The record is from RNAcentral.
UACGCAGGGGGCUAGCGUUGCUCGGAAUCACUGAGCGUAAAGCGCACGUAGGCGGAUUGUUAAGUCAGGGGUGAAAUCCUGGAGCUCAACUCCAGAACUGCCUUUGAUACUGGCGAUCUCGAGUCCGGGAGAGGUGAGUGGAACUGCGAGUGUAGAGGUGAAAUUCGUAGAUAUUCGCAAGAACACCAGUGGCGAAGGCGGCUCACUGGCCCGGUACUGACGCUGAGGUGCGAAAGCGUGGGGAGCAAACAGG